AUUGCCUUAGUAGCGGCGAGUGAAGCGGCAAAAGCUCAAAUUUGAAAUCUGGCACCUUCGGUGUCCGAGUUGUAAUUUGAAGAUUGUAACCUUGGGGUUGGCUCUUGUCUAUGUUUCUUGGAACAGGACGUCACAGAGGGUGAGAAUCCCGUGCGAUGAGAUGCCCAAUCCUAUGUAAGGUGCUUUCGAAGAGUCGAGUUGUUUGGGAAUGCAGCUCUAAGUGGGUGGUAAAUUCCAUCUAAAGCUAAAUAUUGGCGAGAGACCGAUAGCGAACAAGUACAGUGAUGGAAAGAUGAAAAGAACUUUGAAAAGAGAGUGAAAAAGUACGUGAAAUUGUUGAAAGGGAAGGGUUUGAGAUCAGACUCGAUAUUUUGUGAGCCUUGCCUUCGUGGCGGGGUGACCCGCAGCUUAUCGGGCCAGCAUCGGUUUGGGCGGUAGGAUAAUGGCGUAGGAAUGUGACUUUGCUUCGGUGAAGUGUUAUAGCCUGCGUUGAUGCUGCCUGCCUAGACCGAGGACUGCGAUUUUAUCAAGGAUGCUGGCAUAAUGAUCC
Molecule: ribosomal RNA, 550 nt
Filed under: Meyerozyma caribbica
Lineage: Eukaryota; Fungi; Ascomycota; Pichiomycetes; Serinales; Debaryomycetaceae
Description: partial large subunit ribosomal RNA
Rfam family: Eukaryotic large subunit ribosomal RNA
Source: RNAcentral